AACAAAACAUCGAGCAGCGAGCCAGAGGCCCCUGGGUACAAAACGACGUGUCAGUUCAGCGGAGCGGCUGCAUCCAUAAUCUCUCCCAACCAUCAAUACAGUUCCCCGAGUGGUUUUGAUGGAGAUCCCCCCGCCAGAUUGAGGAGAAUGGAGUCUUAUCGGUGUAAACAGACAGGCCCGAGGACUCUGGGGACCAAUCGGGCUACCAGGGGACAACCGGAGGGCCGGGUAUCUGCUCAGGUGGUAGACAAUACAUCCCCAUGAUGGUUCUAAAAUUGGGACAUACCUCGGCGGGCUACUGCCAAGAAAGUGUUUGCAAACGCUGUUAUGAACGCUGAUGAGUGAACUCAUCCGUCUUCUGAAGGACAGCUGGGGCGACGGAGCAAUUAGCGUUAUUAGCCGCGCUGGCCUUCCCUGAACCACAGCAGCGAGGCUUUCCUCUCCACACCACAUUCAUCAAUAUAUGCUUAACACACGUUUUAUUUUAGUAUUAUUGAUAUACAGUUAUAGUUUCGGUUUAUAUU
Long non-coding RNA from Carassius carassius (crucian carp), 524 nucleotides. RefSeq lists it as uncharacterized. The transcript has 3 exons. NCBI's taxonomy places the organism in Eukaryota, Metazoa, Chordata, Actinopteri, Cypriniformes, Cyprinidae. The record is from RefSeq and is a predicted model, not a curated record.